Molecule: non-coding RNA, 273 nt
Organism: Odocoileus virginianus texanus
Lineage: Eukaryota; Metazoa; Chordata; Mammalia; Artiodactyla; Cervidae
Source: RefSeq, a predicted model, not a curated record
UUCCAGAACCCUCCCACUUGCAUUAUCUCAGGAUGUUGAUGGAGUCAGAGGCUGGAUGGCUGCCUUGGAGACCCUCGUCAGAGCCAAGCCUUUUCUCUGAGCUGGGAGCCUUUCCCAGUUUCCCGCUGAGGUUUCUCUUGCUCUCCAGGAGUCCCUGCCUGCCCAAUGGAAAGACCUGCCCAAUGGAAAGCCCAAUGGGAAGGUGAUCCCGGAGUCCCAUAACUAAGGCCUGUGGAUCCCAGUUGAGAGCCCCUCUUCCAAUUCCCAGCCACG